AUUGAACGCUGGCGGCAUGCCUUACACAUGCAAGUCGAACGGCAGCAUGGGUGCUUGCACCUGAUGGCGAGUGGCGAACGGGUGAGUAAUGCAUCGGAACGUACCCGGAAGUGGGGGAUAACGUAGCGAAAGUUACGCUAAUACCGCAUAUUCUGUGAGCAGGAAAGCGGGGGAUCGCAAGACCUCGCGCUUCCGGAGCGGCCGAUGUCGGAUUAGCUAGUUGGCGGGGUAAAGGCCCACCAAGGCAACGAUCCGUAGCGGGUCUGAGAGGAUGAUCCGCCACACUGGGACUGAGACACGGCCCAGACUCCUACGGGAGGCAGCAGUGGGGAAUAUUGCGCAAUGGGCGAAAGCCUGACGCAGCAAUGCCGCGUGAAGGAUGACGGUCCUAGGAUUGUAAACUUCUGUUAAGUGGGAAGAAAAGCUGAUCUUUAAUAGAGAUCGUGUAUGACGGUACCACUAGAGAAAGCACUGGCUAAUUUCG
This 484-nucleotide ribosomal RNA is filed under the name uncultured bacterium. Its description in RNAcentral is "bacterial SSU rRNA". It matches the Rfam family "Bacterial small subunit ribosomal RNA", at positions 30 to 505 of the family's 1533-position model. The record is from RNAcentral.